ACAAUUCACAUUUUCAAAAAUACUACAAACUUAAAAAAUUUUUUUUUACGAAAUUGUUUACAAAGAAGCUUUUAUUCUCUUUUUUUUUUUUUUUUAACUCUUCUUUAUCAUAAUCUUAUUCCAUCAAUUUUCUCUCAUUUUCUCCACUUCUUCGCAAGAGAAUCAUCAACACUUUUAGACAGUUAUUGACGACGUCACAGUAAUCACCAACACUUUUACUUCGCCGGUGCUUGUUCCUUUCUCAACCGCUUCUCCUUCAACAAAGACAACUACCCUCCCUCUCAUGUCAUGGAUUCUCUCAAAAAUUUUAGUUUUUAUUAUUUAGUUAUUUUUCUUUUCUCUUUCUAUAUGAUUUUCAGAUAGGUAUUGAGAUUUUCCUAUCCAAAGUAGAAGAGAAUGUCAGUCAACUCCAUAGUAGAUUUAAUAGUGGGGAAACAAUA
Molecule: long non-coding RNA, 440 nt
Filed under: Ricinus communis (castor bean)
Lineage: Eukaryota; Viridiplantae; Streptophyta; Magnoliopsida; Malpighiales; Euphorbiaceae
Description: long non-coding RNA (RCOM_LNC003237)
Source: RNAcentral